AAUGCCGUGGCGCGAACUUGGGACUGCAGAGGCGCGCCUGGCGGAUCUGAGUGUGUUACCCGGGCAGCGGCGCGCGGGACCAACGCGAGGAGCAGCUGACAGACGAAGAAAAGUGCUGGACAGGAAGGGAGAAUUCUGACGCCGACAUGCAGCGAAGUAUCAUGUCAUUUUUCCACCCCAAGAAAGAGGGUAAAGCGAAGAAGCCUGAGAAGGAGGCAUCCAAUAGCAGCAGAGAGACGGAGCCCCCUCCAAAGGCGGCACUGAAGGAGUGGAAUGGAGUGGUGUCCGAGAGUGACUCUCCGGUGAAGAGGCCAGGGAGGAAGAAGCGGAGACCCCGAAAGAAAGCCUCACAGAGGCUGAAGUGGCAACAGAGAAGGAAGGAGAAGACAGGGACCAGGCCACCACGCCUCCCAAGCCCCUAAAGACCUCCAAAGCAGAGACCCCGACGGAAAGCGUUUCAGAGCCUGAGGUGGCCACGAAGCAGGAACUGCAGGAGGAGGAAGAGCAGACCAAGCCUCCCCGCAGAGCUCCCAGGACGCUCAGCAGCUUCUUCACCCCCCGGAAGCCAGC
RNAcentral lists this small RNA (570 nucleotides) under Pan troglodytes (chimpanzee). Its description in RNAcentral is "processed transcript". The record is from RNAcentral. Lineage: Eukaryota; Metazoa; Chordata; Mammalia; Primates; Hominidae.